Molecule: non-coding RNA, 25 nt
Filed under: Mus musculus (house mouse)
Lineage: Eukaryota; Metazoa; Chordata; Mammalia; Rodentia; Muridae
Source: RNAcentral
UGCUAAUCGUUGUCUCUUUCGCCAC